RNAcentral lists this ribosomal RNA (502 nucleotides) under uncultured Acidobacteriota bacterium. RNAcentral describes it as "bacterial SSU rRNA". It matches the Rfam family "Bacterial small subunit ribosomal RNA", at positions 13 to 528 of the family's 1533-position model. Lineage: Bacteria; Pseudomonadati; Acidobacteriota. The record is from RNAcentral.
UUGAUCCUGGCUCAGAAUCAACGCUGGCGGCGUGCCUCAGACAUGCAAGUCGAACGAUUAAACUUUCCUUCGGGAAAGAUAUAAAGUGGCGCACGGGUGUGUAACACGUAAGUAAUCUACCUUUGAGUGGGGAAUAACAGUCGGAAACGUCUGCUAAUACCGCAUAAUGCAGCGGCAUCUAAUGAUGACAGUUGUUAAAUAUUUAUCGCUUGAAGAGGAGCUUGCGGCAGAUUAGCUAGUUGGUAAGGUUAUGGCUUACCAAGGCUACGAUCUGUAUCCGACCUGAGAGGGUGGUCGGAUACACUGACACUGAAUAACGGGUCAGACUCCUACGGGAGGCAGCAGUCGGUAAUUUUGGGCAAUGGGCGAAAGCCUGACCCAGCAACGCCGCGUGAAGGAUGAAGUCUUUCGGGAUGUAAACUUCGUAAGAAUAGGAAGAAUAAAUGACGUUACUAUUUGUAAGGUCCGGCUAACUACGUGCCAGCAGCCGCGGUAAUAAUGU